GGAGGGUUCAGAAGUAGAACACCUGCUUCACAUGCAGAAGGUCCCAGGUUCAAUCUCCAGCAUCUCCA
This 68-nucleotide transfer RNA is filed under the name Sphaerodactylus townsendi. RNAcentral describes it as "tRNA-Val". The record is from RNAcentral. Lineage: Eukaryota; Metazoa; Chordata; Lepidosauria; Squamata; Sphaerodactylidae.